GUUAAGUGAUACUGGUAACAGACCGACUGGCUUUCUGGUCUUCGGCACGGGAGGCAGAAAGUGGGGGAAAGGCAGGCCCCCAUUCGGCUGAGAUGAUAGGCUCUGGACCCCCACAACCUUGCAUAGGACAAGCAAGUAUAGACAAUGUAUGUCUGGAUAUUCCCAAUACCCAAAGGACUGCUUACUAAAAUUAAGGCUCCUACCAUGUUUCAUAAGUUGGCCUUUCCCUCCAGUAUCAACACUAUAGCAUGAACAUUUUCUGUGAUUUGCAUGGACCUCCUUAUGAAAUAUGGCACAGUCUCAAGAAUAGCCGUCGGAAGAGAGUGCAAGUGCGCACAGCACAUGCUGCCCAAGAGCCUCCCCAGGACGGACACGCAGGGGGCGGAUCCCUGUAAGCCCCACCCCUCUGUGUGACACAAUAUGAGCAUGUAGCGGGCAAGACCAAAACAAGAAAGCAUGCCUGAAUUAAUCUUUACAAAGGAAAAAUAUAAUAAAAUGUCA
This is a non-coding RNA of Paramormyrops kingsleyae, 501 nucleotides long. The record is from RefSeq and is a predicted model, not a curated record. NCBI's taxonomy places the organism in Eukaryota, Metazoa, Chordata, Actinopteri, Osteoglossiformes, Mormyridae.